This 345-nucleotide long non-coding RNA is filed under the name Mytilus galloprovincialis (Mediterranean mussel). The record is from RNAcentral. Lineage: Eukaryota; Metazoa; Mollusca; Bivalvia; Mytilida; Mytilidae.
UUCUAAAUAAUAUAAAAAAGAAGAUGUGGUAUGAUUGCCAAUGAGACAACUAUCCACAAAAGACCAAAAUGACACAUACAUUAACAACUAUAGGUCACCAUACGGCCUUCAACAAUGAGCAAAGCCCAUACCACAUAGUCAGCUAUAAUAGGCCCCGAUAAGACAAUGUAAAACAAUUCAAACGAGAAAACUAACGGCCUUAUUUAUGUAAAAAAUGAACGAAAAACAAAUAUGUAACACAUAAACAAACGACAACCACUGAAUUACAGGCUCCUGACUUGGGACAGGCACAUACAUAAAUAAUGUGGCGGGGUUAAACAUGUUAGCGGGAUCCCAACCCCCCCC